GACGAACGCUGGCGGCGUGCUUAACACAUGCAAGUCGAACGGAAAGGCCCUGCUUUUGUGGGGUGCUCGAGUGGCGAAAGGGUGAGUAACACGUGAGUAACCUGCCCUUGUCUUUGGGAUAACUUCACGAAACUGGGGCUAAUACCGGAUAGGAGCUCCUGCUGCAUGGUGGGGGUUGGAAAGUUUCGGCGGUUGGGGCUGGAUUCGCGGCUUAUCAGCUUGUUGGUGGGGUUGUGGCUUACAAAGGCUUUGACGGGUAGCCGGCCUGAGAGGGUGACCGGCCACAUUGGGACUGAGGUACGGCCCAGACUCCUACGGGAGGCAGCAGUGGGGAAUAUUGUACAAUGGGCGGAAGCCUGAUGCAGCAACGCCGCGUGCGUGAUGACGGCCUUCUGGUUGUAAACCGCUUUCGCCUGUGACGAAGCGUGAGUGACGGUAAUGAGUAAAGAAGCACCGGCUAACUACGUG
This 468-nucleotide ribosomal RNA is filed under the name uncultured bacterium. RNAcentral describes it as "partial 16S ribosomal RNA". It matches the Rfam family "Bacterial small subunit ribosomal RNA", at positions 28 to 507 of the family's 1533-position model. The record is from RNAcentral.